RNAcentral lists this long non-coding RNA (92 nucleotides) under Oryctolagus cuniculus (rabbit). Its description in RNAcentral is "lncRNA (ENSOCUG00000034487.1)". Lineage: Eukaryota; Metazoa; Chordata; Mammalia; Lagomorpha; Leporidae. The record is from RNAcentral.
GGCCAAGCCUAAGGAAAAAAGCCAGAGAAGAUAAAUGGGCAGAUAAUGGUUAGAGGACCAGAGAUCACAGAAUGCUGUGGAAGGAGGAUCUC